RNAcentral lists this long non-coding RNA (656 nucleotides) under Cyanistes caeruleus (blue tit). Its description in RNAcentral is "lncRNA (ENSCCEG00000011893.1)". The record is from RNAcentral. Lineage: Eukaryota; Metazoa; Chordata; Aves; Passeriformes; Paridae.
UCUCUGUGCUAUUUCCAUUGCAGGAUCUGGACUCCCCUGAGAUGGCAACUGCAGCCACAGUUGUGCUGACUUUUUAACAAUGCACUAAGGUGUGACAGAUGAACCCCUGCUGUGUUUCAACAGGAUUUUGCAGCAUCAGAUGCAUAGAAGUUUGCAGGUACUAAUGGAAAACUAUACCAUAUGCUACUUUUGUGGUAAUGAACUCGGCCCUGUGGGAGAUCACUGAUCCUAUGCUGGCACCUGAGAACAUGUCAGAAUUCAUCCAGAACCCUCUCUCUGCAAAAUCACUGCGAAGAUUCAAAGGGAGCUUUCAGCAGCAGGCCCCAGUAAGCUCAGUCACAAACCUGCUUUUAAAUGCUACUCAUCAAAACAAGUAAGAAGAAACAACAUGUAUGAUACAGGAGCAGAGCUGACAUUGAAUUAAACAGAUUCUGAGCUUCCCCAGGAGAACUCUGAAGCACUUACAGAAGAAAAAUCAGCCUGCACUACUUCUACACAGGAAGUGAGUGCCUUCUAUGUGGGAAUUGCUAAAUUUUCUUGUUUUUUCCUCUCUCCUCUAGUGUCUGUAUUACACAGGGAUUUAGAGUGGAAAAAGAAAGGUCGCAGUCCUGAAAGAAGCUUUCAGAAAAGGUGGGAAAAGGGUAACAUCAAAAAGG